ACCAUUUUGAAAUUGAAUCCCUUAGAGAAAGUUUCCAUUGGCAGAAUGUAUAACUUAUUUUUGUUACAAAAAGAGAACAUAUCACUAAAGAUUAAACAAGAUUGGGAGAGAGAACUUACUAUGACCUUUGUUAAUGAAGAUUGGCUUCGAGUUUUGAAAAACGGAAAUUCUUCUUCUAUAUGUGCCAACCAUUGUUUAAUUCAAUUUAAAACUGUUCACUGUUGUUAUUUAACAAAGGAGAGACUAUCUAAAAUAUUUCGUAGUAUAGACAAAUGCUGUGAUAGAUGUAAAACUGAAGUAGCUACUUUGUCACAUAAUUUCCGGCAUGUUCAUCAUUGAAAUCGUUUUGGAAAUCUUUAUUUCCAACAAGUUCUGAAGCUCUGAAAAUGAAUUUACAACCUAAUAGAUUGACUGUUCUAUUUGGUAUAGUUCCACAUCAUAUUCAGGGUAUUUCAUCUUCAGAUCUAGUUGUAAUUGCAUUUGUUACACUAUUGACAAGAAGGGCCAUUUUAUUAAAAUACAAAGAUACUUCUUCCCUUGCAUUAAUUGAUUGGUUUUCUCAAGGAAUCUUAUGUCUUAGUUUGAAAAAAAAUAGGAGAACUUUUGAUCCUCGAUUCGAUUUUGAGAGAAGAUGGGGUUCUUUGCCAAAUAUUAUCAUUUAAUUUGAAUUAUGCUAUGUGGUUUCCUUCCAAUUUUAUUUUUUUAUAAAUAUGAAAUGGCGGUUGAUGAUUGUGUUUUCUUUCUGACAGUUAUUUAGUUUAUAAUAUUUUCGCUUAGUAAUUCAUUUGUUAGUAUUUUCUAGUUAGAAUUAGAAGUGUUUAAAGUAUAUUCAUUGCCUGUAAAAAAUAUCGGCAUGCGAUGACGUCACAUCCGGUUUCACCGCGUCUUGUGUGAAAAUACCGGUUUGAGAUUAACGCGAGGGUGGGGGGCUCACCACGAGGCACACCUGAGCAGAAGUUGUUUUGCAAGCAUUAGAAAUCACACUGGGAGCAACGCUGUAAGUUAAUAGAUAAUCGAUAUAUUGAACUAAGAUGUUAACGCCGAUCCUGUUAAAAGUAACGACGGUCGAUAAUGUUUAUGUUUUCGUUAGUUAAAGAGUUGCGGAUAGUUUGCAUUGAAGUGUAUUUAAAGUACUCAAUGGCGUAGGUAAACUCUGCCUGUAUACUGCACCUUAAUGUAAUGUAGUUAUAGUCACUUUUACAAGUACUUACAAUUGAAAUGUGAUAUUAAGAAAGGAACAAAUACUGUAUCAAUCUUGUAUUGUUUUAUCAACAGUUUUCACCAUAUGUUAAUGUGAAGAGUGAACAGUAAAUGGUUAAUCUUACUGCGAUCUGGUUUUCAUUGACUGUGGUUUAUCUCGACGUUUAAUUCGGCGUUAUUUGUUACACCCGAACGAGAACGUUACAAUGAUACUAUUUUUAUAUUUAGAUGAUGGCUAAACGUAUUGCUCCGGGGGGGUUGAUUUCUAAUGGGUUUUUUCCCUUUUUUGUAGUUAGUGGGUUCCCCCCUAGUUAGAUGGGGUUCUUUAUUACCUUCUUUUUCCUAUAUAUAUUUUCCAUUUUUAUAUUUAGCGAUUACUUUUUUUCUUCAGCUUUAUUAAUUUUAUACAUAUUAAUCCAUUGGUCUUGUUUCAUUCUAUAGCUGUAGAAGAUUAUGUACUGGUAAAAAAGAUUAUAAAAAUGAAAAAUGAAAAUGACAAAACAACAAUGUAACAAAGCAUUAUAGCUGCAGAGGUCACGGCGAGUUACAUUGUGAGGCCGAGUCCAUUUCAUCAUUCUUUUGGAUUAUGACCACAGACAGGAAGCCGUCCUUGAGCCGGGUGGUUCGCGCUUUAAGGCUUUUGUAUCUCGCCCCGAUGGGGGAGCGGGUUUGCAGCGAGAAUGUCCAGGUUGUGAGGGUCUUUGAGUACAUGGCCUGCUUUUCCGAGGCAGGGGAAGUGAAGGAAGAGUCCAUGGAGGGGAGGCUUGUUUCCCCGAUGUUCUCUGCUCUCCAAAGUUCUCUGCAGUUCCUUGCAGUCAUGGGCAGAGCAGUAGCCAUACGAAGGCGUGAAGUAUCGACAAGAAGCUCAGAGACCUCGGUCUUCACCCUGCCUUGUGUAGCUGGAUCCUGGACUUCCUGUCAGAUCGCCGGCAGGUGGUAAGAGUGGGCUCCCUCACCAGGGUCUCGCUGACCCUCAGCAGACAUAUCCCACAGGGGUGUCUCCUUGCACCCUCCUUUACUGUCUGUAUUCCCAUGACGUGUCGCCACCCACAGCUCCAAUCUGCUAAUUAAAUUUACUGACGACACUACUCUGACUGGCCUAAUCUCAAAUAAUAACGAGGCAGCCGACAGAGAAGAAGUCAUCACCCCGACACAGUGGUGUCAAGAAAACAACCUCUCCCUCAUUGUGACAAAAACAAAGGAGCUGGUUGUGGAUUACAGGAUGAAUGGAGACAGGGACCAACUUCAACAUUUCCCUGUCUGUUCUUGAGACAAAAUGCACAUUUUAAUAUUGAUCAUGACACAGUGUAUUUUAUAUAACGUUAAUGAUAUGAAACAUAUUUACAAAUCGUUACUGACAGAGAACCGUAUAAUUUGUGUUCUGUGUGUUAUAUGAAUGUACUUACCUGUGAUGUUGCCACAAGUCAGUCUUUCUCUGUACCUGUACCUUCCCACACUUGUGCAGUUGGCAAUAAAUUCAACAGGACCUGAGAAAUCUCAGUGAGAUUUGAUUAGUGAUGAUCAUCUUGUCAGCUCGGUAGGUCGAAUGUAUGAGACAGUACACUGUUAAAUGCAAAACACUGAACAGUGUCGAUGAUCAGAGGGAACAUGGACUCCCAGUUCAUCGCUCCCUGAAAGAGACUGCACAGAUUGAUCGGGUGGUUAAGAAGGCAAAUGACAUGGUUGUCUUUAUUAGUUGAAGCAUUGAGUUCAAAAGUCGGGAAGUUGUUUUUCGGCUGUUACGAGCCUGUUACUAUAUACUAAUAAAGGUAAUGGUUUUAACAUCAAAAUCAGACUCCAGUGUGAACUCUAUUGCUGCUGGUUCGUUUCUAAAACUUUACAGUUCGUAACAAGGCUUUACAAAACAGGUUAUACCACAUCUGGAGUGUUUCAUACAGUUCUGGUCGCCCCCAUUCUCGGAAGGAUGUCGGGGCUUUGGAGAGGGCGCAGAAGAGGUUUACCAGGACACUGCCUGGAUUAGAGGGCAUGAGCUAUAACGAGAGGCUGGACAAACUUGUGUUGUUUUCUCCAGAGCGGCGCAGGCAGGGGUGAGACUGGAUGGACGUUUAUAAGAUGACAAGAGGAAUAGAUAGAGUGGACAGACGAUAUAUUUUUCCUGGGGGUUGAAAUGUCUAAUACAUUUAAGGUGAGAGGAGAUGUGAGCGGCAAAUUUGCUUCUUUUCACAGACUAAUGAGUAGCUGGAGUCUCUGCCUGGGGGAGGGGGGGGGGGAGUUGUCACCAAUCCUGCACGUGAUCCCGUUUGCCCCUCCCAUGUAACCGCAGAUGGGUAGCACCUGCGCGUCUGUUUCCGAGGCCCCGCCUCCCGAUGAUGUAACAAUCUGUUCGCGCAUGUUCACAGUCUCCAGGUGGACGGUGUUAUCCUCUCCGCUCAGAGCUGAAGUGGGUCGGCUGUGUGUUCGCGAAAGACUUUCGUCUCUUGCGUCGGGAUCACUGUCUGCGGGCCGAAGAUAUCACUUUCCCAUCGGUAGACCUGCAGUGAGAGAUUUAGUGGAAGAAAAACCACGACUGAAGACGAGGGAACAGCAACAAGUGAACCAGCCCGAGGACUGAGAGCACCGACUGGAGAGGACCCAUAUGACUCGGAGAUUCCAUUGAUUCAGUCCGGAGAAAGUUUGGGCCAUGCGUUAAGAAUUUUGCCAGCGCUGAAGCGCCAAUGAAAUGCGCAGGCGUCAGGCUGAGGACGUCCCCGAUGCGCGCAGUACACAGAAGGCCUUGAAAAUGUCGGGUGCAGGUCGAAUUGCGAGCUCAACACUCAAUCCGGCACGGAUGGAAAGCGUACAAGGGAGCGACUGUAUUCGAACCCAUGGACCUCCGUUACGAAGUCCGGCGCUGACGUCACUACGCCACCAGGACCUUGGGCAAGACUCCCAGAAGAUUAGUUUACGGGUUGAGUCUAUGGUAACGAAGGCAACUGCAAUGCUGGCUUUAUUUAAAGUGAAGUAGAAUAUACUAGCAAGGAGAUAAUGCUGUUACUUUAUAAGAGACUACUCAGGCCACACGUCAGAACAUAAGAAAUGGGAGCAGGAGUCGGCCAUUGGCCCAUUGAGCCUGCCCCGCCAUUCAAUAAAAUCAUGGCUGAACUCAGCUCCAUCUACCAGCCUUUUCCCUAUAACCAUUAAUUACCUUAUUCUGCAAAAACCUAUCUAACUGUAUCUUAAAUAUACUUCGUGAGGAAACCUCAACUGCUUCCCUGGACAGAGAAUUCCACAGAUUCAGCACUCUCUGGGAAAAACAGUUUCUCCUCAUCUCCGCCCUAACUCUUCUCUCCUGAAUCUUGAGGCAAUGUCCCCAAGUUCUAGUCUCAUCUACCAAUGGAAACAACUUUCCUACUUCUAUCUUAUCUAUCCCUUUCAAAAUUCUGGGUAUUUCUAUAAGAUUCCCUCUCAUUCUUCUGAACCCCAGAGAGAAAAGUCCCAGGCGACUCAAUCUCUCCUCAUAGGUUAACCCCCUCAUCCCUGGAAUCAAACUGGUUCACCUUCUCUGCAUUGCCUCCAAAGCCAGUACUGUCUAUCCUUCCUCGUGUACGGAGACCAGAACUGCACACAGUACUCGAGGUGCGGCCUCACCGGUACUCUGUAUAGUGGCAGCAUUACCUCCCUGCUCUUGAAUUCAAUCCCUCUACCAAUGAAGGGUAAUAUUCUGUUAGAGUUAGAGUAUGUGGGACUUCUAUCUUAGAAAAUGUGCGUUGUCAUUGGAGAGAGUCCAGAGGAUCUUCAAGAAGAUGAUUCCGGGAAUGAAGGGGUUAAGUAUGAGAAGCGUUUGCCAGCUUUGGGCCUGUACUCCUGCACUGACUUAUGUUUAGUAAAUGUGGGUGGAGGGUGUUCAGAAGCUGCAGAAGGCUGUAAAUCUCGUCACCUCCAUCUUGGGUACGAGACUACAAAGCAUCCAGGACAUCUUUAGGAAGCGGUAUCACAGAAAGGCAGCGUCCAUUAUAAAGGACCUUCAGCACCCAGGACAUGCCCUUUCCUCACUGUUACCAUCAGGUAGGAGAUACAGAAGCCUGAAGGCGCACACUCAGUGAUUCAGGAAAAGCUUCCCCUCUGCCAUCCGAUUCCUGAAUGGACUUUGAAAGCUUUGGACACUCUUCAAUAUACAGUAUUUCUGUUUUUACACAUUUUAAUAAACUAUUCAUCACACAUAAUUGAUUUACUUGUUGAUUACUGUUUUAAUUAGUUUAUUAUUAUCUAUGCCAGAAUAUGAAUUGCAUUGAACUGCUGUUUGAUUAUUGUUUUAAUUCAUUUAUUAUUAUCUAUGCCAGAAUAUGAAUUGCAUUGAACUGCUGCUGCUGUCAACAAAUUUCAAGCCAAAUGCCUGUUGUAAUAAACCUCAUCCUGAAUCCUGAAUCUCACUGAAACCCACCGAAUGUGGAAAAGUCCAGAUAGGGUGGAUGAGGAGAGGCCUUUUCCUAUGGUGGGGGUAGCCAUAACAGAGGGCACAGCCUGAAAGCGGAGGAGCAACCUUUUAGAGCAGUUAAGGAGGAUUUUAUUUAGUCAGACAGCAGUGAAUCUGUGGAAUUCUCUGACACAGAUGGCGGUGGGGGCCAACUCUGUGUGUACAUUUCAGGCAAAAGCUAAUAGUUUAUGGAUCAGUCGAGGCAUUACAGGAUAUGCCGAGGAGACAGGUGCAUGGGGUUGAGUGAGAACCGGGAUCAGCCAUGAUAGAACGGCGGAGCAGACUCAAUGGGUCUGACUGGCCUAAUUCUGCUCCUAUGUCUGAUAGUCUUAUAAUGCGAGUGUCUUACACAGUGAAGAUUGACACAAAAUACUUAUUACAUUCGGCCGCGAUUUCUUUGCCCUAUUACUAACACGCCAUCAUCAUCUUCCAGUGGUACAAUAUCAACUCUUCCCUCUCUUUUACCCUUUAUAUAUCUAAACAACUUUUGAUACCUGAUAUUAUUGGCUCAAUUACCGUAAUUUUUCAUCAUGUCUCUCCUGUGUGUGUGUGUGUGUGUGUGUUUUUGUUGUCUCCUGUUGGGUAUGUAAAAGAUUUCCAAUCCUCUCACUUCCCACUGUUUUCUUGCCAUAUUACGUGAUCCCGCUUUUGCUUUUAUCAAAAACAGGAGAAAAUCUGUGGAUGCUGGGAAUCCAAGCAACACAGACACAAAAUGCUGGAGGAACCUGGGAUGCCAGGCAGCAUAUAUGGGAAAUAGCAAACAGUCGACGUUUCGGGCCGAGACCCUUCAUCAGGACUGGGAACAAAGAAGAUGAGACAUCAGAGGAAGCAGUGUGGGGGUGAAGGGGUGGAAGACGUGGUAGGUGAUGGGUGACACUGGGAGACGGGGAGCAGUGAAGGAAAAAUCUUCUUUGGAUUUUAUUUCCUUAACGAUUCUCGAAAGAUCAAUGCUAAUGCCUCCACAUCACUUCAGCCACCUCUUUCGGAUCUCAGAGGUGUACACCAUCUGGUCCAGGUGACCUAUUUACCUUCAGACCAUCUCUGUUUCCCAAAGAACAUUCUCCCGUGUAACGUAACUUUACACAUUCUGACCACUGACAUCUGGGACUUCCAUAUUCCUGCCAGUGUCUUCGAGAGAUAAGAGUGAUGUACAAGAUUUAUUCAGUUCAUCUGCCAUCACCUUGCAGCCCCACCCCGUUUCUACCUCUCCAGCAUCAUUUUUCAGUGGUCCGAUAUCCACUUCAGCCUCUCUCUUACAAUAUAUGUACCUGAAGAAAAAUUUGGUAUCCUCUUUAAUAUUGCGGGUAGCUCAUCUAUGUAUUCCAUCUUUGCUGCCUGACAAUGACGGAAAACGUAGUUUACUUUAUUCAAUGUAGUCUUGUUUUUUUUAGUAUGUUUCAAUUGCGCUUAAGCCCAAAGUGCAUAGAGAUAUGUAGGUAAUACAUGAUACUUAUGGGGUAUUAGCCUUCAUAAGUGGAGGAAUAGAGUUGAAGUGUCGCGAGGUAAUGAUGCAGCUCUAUAAAACUCCAGUUCGGCCACACUUCGAGUACUGUGUCCAGUUCUGGUCGCCUCACUAUAGGAAGGAUGUGGAAGCAUUGGAAUGGGUACAGAGGAGAUUUACCAGGUUGCUGCCUGGUUUAAGGAGUAUGGAUUAUGAUCAGAGAUUAAGGGAGCUUGGGCUUUACUCUUUGAAAGAAGGAGGAUGAGAGGAGACAUGAUAGAGAAGUACAAGAUAUUAAGAGGAAUAGACAGAGUGGGCAGCCAGCGCCUCUACCCCAGGGCACCACUGCUCAGUACAAGAGGACAUGGCAAGGGGAGGGAAGUUCAAGGGGGAUAUUAGAGGAAGGUUUUUCACUCAGAGAGUGGUUGGUGCGUGGAAUGCACUGCCCGAGUCAGUGGUGGAGGCAGAUACACUAGUGAAAUUUAAGAGACUACUAGACAGGUAUAUGGAGGAAUUUGUGGGAGGCUAUAUGGGAGGCAGGGUUUGAGGGUCACCACAACAUUGUGGGCCGAAGGGCCUGUAAUGUGAUGUACUAUUCUAUGUUUUAUAAUCAAUACAUUAUUUCAGAUAGGACAAUCCGUACGAACCAUUCGAAUAUAAUAUUACAGGAUUAAUAAGCAGGAACAACUCCUCCAAUAGAUAAAACCAUUCCAAACACAUACAUUCCUCAACCAGUGGAGCACCUCACCACAGGCAUUGUUUGUGUCAUCAGUCAGACAACCGAAAGAUUUUCUCUAUCAAUCAGCUUCCAAAUGUUGCUACUCUGUCAUUCGUUGACACGCUCCGCUGCUGAUUCCCUUCUCCUUAUCAUAUGUUCUUACCCCGACCGUCGUCCAGAGCCCCAAACUCUGCCUUGUGCAGACCCGCCUCUGGUUUCUGACCCUGCUCCGUUGAACAUCCAAACAAUGGUUUCGCAUUCUGCUUUCAGUCUUUAGAGGACAGUGUGUUUUCAACAACACUUUAGUAGCAGGGGAAAUGACCCAUAAUGUGGAAAUGAGCCAUGAAUAAGGAGGUUAACUCCCAAAUUCAUUCUUCCUCAGCUCAGAGAUUUCAGGGGUAAAGAACAUCUCAGACAGAACUGCAGUCAGCUCAAUUUCUUCAGUCUGCAGAAAAUUCAGGGAAACCUCUUCACCCACAGGAUGGUGACUGUUUGGAACCCAUCACCACAGGGAGAGCAAGAGGUGAACAACAGGGGAGGACUUAAAAGGACUGUCCUGGAACAGAAUCACAGGCAGUGUCCAGCCGGCCUGAGUUGACCCUCCACUGUGCACAAGGAUCCCAAUACAGGGAGUGCCAAGCAGACGGGCUGAGUAAGCGGCUGGACCACUCUGGGGACUGCGGAGACUGACCGGGUGCCCAAUAGGUAUUUUACCUUUUGUCACUCUCCGUUACUUCAUUUGGAGGUACGGUCCCUCACCCAAGGCUGAUUGCUUAGCUUGACGGGAUUGGGAAAGAAUCUGUCGAGAGGCUCGUAUAAGGAAGGCAAAAUUUUGCUAAGUGGGCAUGUGGCAGUACCAGGUAAAUUUUACUAAGUGGGCAGGAGGCAGACAUGCCAGAUAAUUUCAUUAAUUGAGCAGGAGGUGCCAGCCGGGUAAAGUUACCUGAUCGAUAAUUGAGCAGGAGGCUUUGUGCCGGGUAGAUUACUUAGAGGACAUGGGUCAAUUGCAGUCGAUUGAUGCGAGUGGGCCAGGAGCAGCCCUACACAAUAUGUCUGAGAGUUUUCCAGGCAAGGAAAAAGAUUUUCAAAUGUUGAGUGCAGCGCUGAAUAAGAAAUUGGGGAACAAAAUGUGGCCACGGGGGGGAAGGGAAACUGGGAUAUUACAUCAUGAGAACAAACAGUCAAUUUGAUAUGGAAAAAGAACUGUGGAAAGAAGUGGAAAUUGUUGAAAGGGAGUGAAAGGAAAAGCAGAUAUGAAGUGGAACAGUAUAUUAUUAGCAAGUUGGAGUAAGAAUGCAUGUGACAAUGAGAUAGAGGUAUGUACUGCAAAGAUUGGGAGACACUAAAAGUGAAGUGUGAAUGGGUGGAUGUGCACCGAAAACGAGAGCAGGAAAAACAACGUAAGCAAACCAAUGCCGGCCCAGAUAGGAGAGAAGGGCAGGAACGUCAGACAGACAGACAGACAAACGUACUUUAUUGACCCCGAGGGAAAUUAGGUUUCGUUACAUUCUGAUAGGGAAACAAGGGAUCCCAAACCCAUGUCUGUCAUACCGACCCUGCUUGAGGACAGUGACCGUGAUGAGGAGUGGGAACCCCCCCGUACCUCUCCUACCUUACCAGGGGCCAAGUGCACCCACUGCCCCCAAACCCCAACGAUGGCCGCUCGGGUAAAACAGCAGGACAGGGAAGUGGGGGGGGGGUGGGGGUGCCACUUUACCAUGAGAUCCUGAAAGGGAAUACAGAGGUUUAUUCCGAGACAGGGAGGGAAGAAUCCAAUAAAACCCCAGAGUUAAUGGCUCCACAAAGACAAUU
This is an RNA transcript of Hypanus sabinus (Atlantic stingray), 9585 nucleotides long. It is a transcript of the gene named zinc finger protein 229-like, with no coding region annotated. The record is from RefSeq and is a predicted model, not a curated record. The transcript has 5 exons. Lineage: Eukaryota; Metazoa; Chordata; Chondrichthyes; Myliobatiformes; Dasyatidae.